RNAcentral lists this ribosomal RNA (407 nucleotides) under uncultured bacterium. RNAcentral describes it as "bacterial SSU rRNA". It matches the Rfam family "Bacterial small subunit ribosomal RNA", at positions 355 to 774 of the family's 1533-position model. The record is from RNAcentral.
UGGGGAAUUUUGGACAAUGGGCGCAAGCCUGAUGCAGCGACGCCGCGUGAGGGAUGACGGCCUUCGGGUUGUAAACCUCUUUCAGUAGGGACGAAGCGCAAGUGACGGUACCUACAGAAGAAGCACCGGCCAACUACGUGCCAGCAGCCGCGGUAAUACGUAGGGUGCGAGCGUUGUCCGGAUUUACUGGGCGUAAAGAGCUCGUAGGCGGUUUGUCACGUCGUCUGUGAAAACCCGAGGCUUAACCUCGGGCCUGCAGGCGAUACGGGCAGACUUGAGUACUGUAGGGGAGACUGGAAUUCCUGGUGUAGCGGUGGAAUGCGCAGAUAUCAGGAGGAACACCGGUGGCGAAGGCGGGUCUCUGGGCAGUAACUGACGCUGAGGAGCGAAAGCGUGGGUAGCGAACA